GAUGAACGCCAGCGGCGGGCUUAACACAUGCAAGUCGAGGGGUAUAGUUCUUCGGAACUAGAGACCGGCGCACGGGUGCGUAACGCGUAUGUAAUCUACCUUUUACAGGGGGAUACCCCAGAGAAAUUUGGAUUAAUAACCCAUAGUAUGUUGUGGUGUCAUCACUAUAACAUUAAAGUUCCAACGGUAAAAGAUGAGCAUGCGUCCCAUUAGCUAGAUGGUAAGGUAACGGCUUACCAUGGCUACGAUGGGUAGGGGUCCUGAGAGGGAGAUCCCCCACACUGGUACUGAGACACGGACCAGACUCCUACGGGAGGCAGCAGUGAGGAAUAUUGGACAAUGGGCGCAAGCCUGAUCCAGCCAUGCCGCGUGCAGGAUGACGGUCCUAUGGAUUGUAAACUGCUUUUGUACAGGAAGAAACACUCCCUCGUGAGGGAGCUUGACGGUACUGUAAGAAUAAGGAUCGGCUAACUCCGUGCCAGCCGCCGCGGUAA
This 494-nucleotide ribosomal RNA is filed under the name uncultured bacterium. RNAcentral describes it as "partial 16S ribosomal RNA". It matches the Rfam family "Bacterial small subunit ribosomal RNA", at positions 28 to 523 of the family's 1533-position model. The record is from RNAcentral.